AUGUUGGCAACUGCUGAUUGGGCUGAGGCUACCUCCAGGGUGGGUGGAGAUCCACCCCCACUGGAAGGGCCAGAUGUCAUCGUGCCUGUCCUCAAGGAUGAUGGAUCCUACCUGCUCUGUGCAUAUUGGGCAGAUGAGCCUGAAGCCCCAGUCCAGGCCUGGGCUGGGGCCCUGCACCCUACAGCCCAGCAGCCCACCUGCUGUGCUGAGGCCAUUCUCGUGGAAGAGCCCUCAUCACAAGAGGAGGAAGGGAAAGUGGCACGUGCAGACCAGGCCGAGGCUAAUCAGAGGGUGUGUGGAGAUCCACCCCCACUGGAAGGGCCAGAUGCCAUCGUGCCUAUCCUCAAAGAAGAUGGAUCCUACCUGCUCUGUGGAUACUGGGCAGAUGAGCCUGAAGCACCAGCCCAGGUCUGGGCUGAGGCCUUGCAUGCAAAAACUCAGCAGCCCAUCUGCUGUGCUGAGGCUUUUUGGCUGCUAAGAACUUCCUCUGGUGGAUACCAUGAAACCUGACUCUGUUCAUUCCAGGACCCCAUUUAUAUUAAAGUUUGGUUUUGUUAAUUAUUUGGGUUGAAUAUUUUGCUCCAUAAUCUUUAAACCUCACAAAUACAUGGAUUAGUAUAACACUGGAACCUGGAAUUCUAGGUGUCUUCUGAUAACUGUAGUCAAGAUUGCUCCUAUGCCACAGGACAUGUCUACAUGCAUCAAGUCUAGUGAAAAAAGCCAGACAUAGUCCAGUACAUGUGAGUACAGGUUAAAGCAGACCUGGUUCUAAGGUGAAUGCAAGAAUGCAUAUACUCAAGAUGAGCAUGAGAAUCUCUCAAGACAGUGAGGGUGAGGGAGUGUCAUUAUGUGGGACUCUUCUGGAAUCUUAGUGGGGAUAUUCACUUUCAACAACAUGUGAAUGUGUCCCCUUGAAUUUCAUGGGUCUUUCUCCAUACUGGUUUACAAAACAAAGGAAAAUGAUCGGGCCGGCACCAUGGCUCAAUAGGCUAAUCCUCCACCUAGCAGCACCGGCACACUGGGUUCUAGUCCCGGUUGGGGCACCAGAUUCUGUCCCAGUUGCUCCUCUUCCAGGCCAGCUCUCUGCUGUGGCCAGGGAGUGCAGUAGAGGAUGGCCCAAGUG
This 1123-nucleotide long non-coding RNA is filed under the name Oryctolagus cuniculus (rabbit). Its description in RNAcentral is "lncRNA (ENSOCUG00000031423.1)". Lineage: Eukaryota; Metazoa; Chordata; Mammalia; Lagomorpha; Leporidae. The record is from RNAcentral.